Molecule: unclassified non-coding RNA, 1448 nt
Filed under: Hevea brasiliensis (rubber tree)
Lineage: Eukaryota; Viridiplantae; Streptophyta; Magnoliopsida; Malpighiales; Euphorbiaceae
Source: RNAcentral
AAAAAAUGAAGUGAUAAUUGCGCAAUAAAGAGAGCCCAAUGCCGCCCCUUUAUUGGAGCAGAAGAAGAAGAAAGUAAAAGCAUAGACGGAAGAGAUGAAGUGUUACGCUAAAGUCUGUGUUACAGUAGCAACUGGAUAUGUUGGUUCCUGGCUUGUUAAAAAGUUGUUACAGAGAGGCUAUACUGUCCAUGCAACAGUGAGAAACUUAGAUGACCCAUCGAAGGUAGGCUUUCUAAAGUCCCUCCCGAACGCGGAAACCAACCUGAUUCUAUUUCAAGCUGAUAUAUACAAAAACAAUGAGUUUGAGCCUGCAAUUGAAGGCUGUGAAUUUGUUUUUCACGUCGCUACUCCGUUGGAGCAUGACCCCAAAAGCUCUCAGUACAAAGACAGGGUUGAAGCAACGGUGGCAGGAGCGAAAAGCAUAGUUGAUACUUGCAUCAGAUCGAAAACUGUUAAGCGUCUCAUCUACACUGCAACAGUUCUGGCAGCUUCUCCAUUGAAUGAAGAUGGGAACGGCUUCAAAUCUUGUAUGGAUGAAACCUGUUGGACACCUCUGCAUCUCUCUUUUUCUUAUGGCAACGACUACUUAAUGGAAUAUAUCAAAGGGAAGACGCUAGCAGAGAAAAAGGUUCUAAGGUACAAUGAAAUUGAGAAUGGUAAACUAGAAGUGGUAACUCUUGGUUGUGGUCUGGUGGGGGGAGAAACUAUUCUGUCCCAUGUACCUUCAAGUGUACGAGUGAUUCACUCACAGAUUACAGGCAAUUUAUUCGGUGAUUAUCAUGUAUUAAAAUUCAUACAACAAGUUUUGGGUUCAUACAACAAGUUUUGGGUUCAGUUCCUCUUGUUCAUAUUGAUGACGUUUGUGAAGCACAUAUCUUUUGCAUGGAAAACCCAUCAAUGAAAGGUAGAUUUCUCUGUGCUGUUGCCAAUCCAACCACCAGGGAGAUUGGCAUUUACUUCGCACGACACUACCCAGAAUUCAAGAUCGAAGAACAAUUCUUGGGGGAACCAGAAAGAGAAAUCAUAUUGAAUUCGUCAAAAUUGAAAGAGAUGGGAUUUGUGUAUAAGUAUGACACGAAGAAAAUCUUAGAUGAGAGCUUAGAAUGUGGAAGGCGAAUAGGAGCUCUUUCUCCCGCAGCAGAAAUCAGCUAGAAGAGAAGGCUGCGAUUGGUAAUAAUAUAAGGUUUUAAUAGUUGUGAUUAAUUUAAUGUCACUGUUUGUAUUGUUAUUGAAGGAUUAUUAUUUAGUAUUUCUAAUUGCUUCUUGUAAUAUUAUGUCUGCAAAAUGCAAAUGGCUACAAUUGGCCAGUAAUCAAAACGAGUGAACCAAUAUCAAUAUUCUUUCACGCCUUGAAAGAGACAAAAAGGUGAAGGGGACAAAUUACUUGCAUCCAAUUACUUGAGAAGACGAUUGGUUGCCCUUUUUUUGUUCUCACCCCAACAAACUUG